RNAcentral lists this ribosomal RNA (119 nucleotides) under Stegodyphus mimosarum. Lineage: Eukaryota; Metazoa; Arthropoda; Arachnida; Araneae; Eresidae. The record is from RNAcentral.
AUAUAUUCCUAUACCAUGCUGAAAGUACCGGUUCUCAUCCGAUCACCAAAGUCAAGCAACAUUGGGCGCGGUCAGUACUUAGGAAUGUGACCACCUGGGAACAUCGCGUGCUGUUGACA